GCCUGUGUCCAUGCAUGCCCUUGGAGCCGAUCUGACGGCCAUUGUCUUCCCUGAUGUCGCGGAGCAUAUUUAAAUUAGCUUCCUUCCUUCCUUCAACAAUUCUAGGGCGUCUAUUGAUCGGACAUUUAUCAAACAGGGCAACAAUUCACAAAAUGUCAUGGUCUUGCGCAGCGUUUUAUAUGACAUGUAUAUAUGGCUGUGUUCAUUCUACGCACCUUUUAGAACACUGAUAAUCGCCUGAUAUUUUUUUUUCAUAAAGGAAGCAGGUAAGUGGUAAUUGUGUUGAGCUAAGCUAAUUGUCCUCUAAUCUGGAUCAUGUUGUUGCACCACUCGAGAUCAUGGGUUAUGCAUUUGGAGUCUGGGAGGAUCAUUUGUUUCACAAUGAGAACGGCGGGUUAUUACUCGUUUCUUCCGUUUUAAAAUAUAAAAUGUAUUUUGUUUCGUUGCUGUAAAAUGUUGAGCAAUAUAACAAGAGUUUUUUCAAAAUAUCUCGAGUUACCAUAUUUUUCAAUGUGAAAAUUUAUGUUUUUUACUCGAGUUUUUUUAUCAUCAUUAAAAACACUUUAAAUCAUCAUAUUUUUCAGCGUAAAAAUUUAAUAACUUGAGGUACAAUAUACAUUAAUGUACCGAAUUUUUUAUCAUUCUUGAAAAAGUAUCUCGAGAUACCAUAUUUUGCAGGUUUAACACUUAGCAACUUGAGAGGUAACAUACCUUAAGAUACUUCUGAGAGCAAUUUUACCAUCGUUGAGAAAGUAUCAAGAGGUACCACUGUUUUUUUGUAAAAUUUGGUACUCCUCUUGGUAUCUUAGGUAUUAAAAAAUAUCAAAUUUUACAUAGAAAAGAGUAGUACCUACUCAAGAUGGAAAAAACUCUACUUCUAAAGAAUAGUGAAGGAACUUGAGUUUUUUUAUUAUCGUUGAGAAGGAACUUGAGGUACCAAAAAAUUAGUGUAGAAUUUUAGUAACUUAAGGAACAUUGCAUAUAAAGGUACUAAAUUUUUACAGGGCAAAGUAUGAGGUUAAAAAAGCUCACUAGAAUUUUGCAGUAAUUUUUUUCUAUACCUAAGGUAUUUCUCAAUGAUUGUAAAAAAUAGUAAUUACUAUUUU
RNAcentral lists this long non-coding RNA (1106 nucleotides) under Oryza brachyantha (malo sina). RNAcentral describes it as "long non-coding RNA (OBRA_LNC001757)". Lineage: Eukaryota; Viridiplantae; Streptophyta; Magnoliopsida; Poales; Poaceae. The record is from RNAcentral.